This 223-nucleotide ribosomal RNA is filed under the name uncultured bacterium. RNAcentral's name for it is "partial 16S ribosomal RNA". It matches the Rfam family "Bacterial small subunit ribosomal RNA", at positions 326 to 539 of the family's 1533-position model. The record is from RNAcentral.
ACGCUCGACACCUACGGGAAGCAGCAGUAGGGAAUCUUCCACAAUGGACGCAAGUCUGAUGGAGCAACGCCGCGUGAGUGAAGAAGGUUUUCGGAUCGUAAAGCUCUGUUGUUGGUGAAGAAGGAUAGAGGUAGUAACUGGCCUUUAUUUGACGGUAAUCAACCAGAAAGUCACGGCUAACUACGUGCCAGCAGCCGCGGUAAUCUGAGCGGGCUGGCAAGGC